RNAcentral lists this ribosomal RNA (468 nucleotides) under uncultured bacterium. Its description in RNAcentral is "partial 16S ribosomal RNA". It matches the Rfam family "Bacterial small subunit ribosomal RNA", at positions 28 to 507 of the family's 1533-position model. The record is from RNAcentral.
GACGAACGCUGGCGGCGUGCUUAACACAUGCAAGUCGAACGGAAAGGUCCUGCUCUUGCGGGGUGCUCGAGUGGCGAACGGGUGAGUAACACGUGAGUAACCUGCCCUUGACUUUGGGAUAACUCCAGGAAACUGCGGCUCAUACCCGAUAGGAGCUCCUGCUGCACGGUGGGGGUUGGAAAGAUUCGGCGGUUGUGGCUGGACUGGCGGGUUAUCCGCUUGUUGGUGUGGUAGUGGCUUACCAAGGCUUUGACGGGUAGCCGGCCUGAGAGGGUGGCCGGGCACCAUGGGACUGAGGUAGGGCGCAGAAUGCAACCGGAGGCAGUGGGCGGGAAUAUUGCACAGUGGGCGGAAGCGUGAUACAGCGAUGCCGGGAGCGGGAUAACGGGUUACGGGUGGUAAACAGAUGUGGCAUGAAACAUGGAGUUAGUGACGGUAAUGGGUAAGAAAGCAACGGCUAACUACGUG